GUAGGGAAUCUUGCGCAAUGGGCGAAAGCCUGACGCAGCCAUGCCGCGUGAAUGAUGAAGGUCUUAGGAUUGUAAAAUUCUUUCACCGGGGACGAUAAUGACGGUACCCGGAGAAGAAGCCCCGGCUAACUUCGUGCCAGCAGCCGCGGUAAUACGAAGGGGGCUAGCGUUGCUCGGAAUUACUGGGCGUAAAGGGAGCGUAGGCGGAUAGUUUAGUCAGAGGUGAAAGCCCAGGGCUCAACCUUGGAAUUGCCUUUGAUACUGGCUAUCUUGAGUAUGGAAGAGGUAUGUGGAACUCCGAGUGUAGAGGUGAAAUUCGUAGAUAUUCGGAAGAACACCAGUGGCGAAGGCGACAUACUGGUCCAUUACUGACGCUGAGGCUCGAAAGCGUGGGGAGCAAACAGGAUUAGAUACCCCGGUAGUCC
Molecule: ribosomal RNA, 425 nt
Filed under: uncultured bacterium
Lineage: Bacteria
Description: bacterial SSU rRNA
Rfam family: Bacterial small subunit ribosomal RNA
Source: RNAcentral